RNAcentral lists this ribosomal RNA (1437 nucleotides) under metagenome. RNAcentral describes it as "bacterial LSU rRNA". It matches the Rfam family "Bacterial large subunit ribosomal RNA", at positions 1472 to 2925 of the family's 2925-position model. The record is from RNAcentral.
UUACAGUAGGAUAAGCUAACCGUACUGUUGGUUAUGUACGGCUAAGCAUUGAGGCAGUAUAAAUAGGCAAAUCCGUUUAGACAAUGCUAGGAUGUGAUGGGGAAGCCCUUCGGGGCGAAGUAGCUGAUUUCACACUGUCAAGAAAAGCUUCUAUCGAGUUUAAAGGCGCCCGUACCGUAAACCGACACAGGUGGGUGAGGAGAGUAUCCUAAGGCCAGCGAGAGAACUAUUGUUAAGGAACUCGGCAAAAUGACCCCGUAACUUAGGGAGAAGGGGUGCCUGUCUAUGACAGGCCGCAGAGAAUAGGCCCAAGCGACUGUUUACCAAAAACACAGGUUUCUGCUAAGUCGCAAGACGAUGUAUAGGAGCUGACGCCUGCCCGGUGCUGGAAGGUUAAGGGGAUCUGUUAGAGCAAUCGAAGCAGUGAACUUAAGCCCCAGUAAACGGCGGCCGUAACGAUAACGGUCCUAAGGUAGCGAAAUUCCUUGUCGGGUAAGUUCCGACCCGCACGAAAGGCGUAACGAUUUGGGCACUGUCUCAACAAUAGACUCGGUGAAAUUGUAAUCCCGGUGAAGAUGCCGGGUACCUGCGACAGGACGGAAAGACCCCAUGGAGCUUUACUGUAGCUUGACGUUGGGUCUUGGUACUGCAUGUACAGGAUAGGUGGGAGACUAUGAAGCAUGGACGCCAGUCUGUGUGGAGUCAUCCUUGGGAUACCACCCUUGUAGUACUGGGAUCCUAACCAUAGGCCUUGAAUCAGGUCUUGGAACACCGUCAGGUGGGCAGUUUGACUGGGGCGGUCGCCUCCUAAAAAGUAACGGAGGCGCUCAAAGGUUUCCUCAGCACGGUCGGAAAUCGUGCGAAGAGUGUAAAGGCAAAAGGAAGCUUGAUUGCAAGACAUACAGGUCGAGCAAGGACGAAAGUCGGACUUAGUGAUCCGGUAGUACCGCAUGGAAGGGCCAUCGCUCAACGGAUAAAAGCUACCCUGGGGAUAACAGGCUUAUCUCCCCCAAGAGUCCACAUCGACGGGGAGGUUUGGCACCUCGAUGUCGGCUCAUCACAUCCUGGGGCUGUAGUAGGUCCCAAGGGUUGGGCUGUUCGCCCAUUAAAGUGGUACGCGAGCUGGGUUCAGAACGUCGUGAGACAGUUCGGUCCCUAUCCGUCGCAGGCGUAGGAAAUUUGAGAAGACCUGUCCUUAGUACGAGAGGACCGGGAUGGACGUACCUCUGGUGUACCAGUUGUUCUGCCAAGGGCAUGGCUGGGUAGCUAUGUACGGAAUGGAUAAGCGCUGAAAGCAUCUAAGCGCGAAGCCAACUUCAAGAUAAGAUUUCCCACCGUAAGGGUAAGACCCCAGGAGGACUACCUGGUUGAUAGGUCGAAGGUGUAGGUGCAGUAAUGUAUUUAGCUUAUCGAUACUAAUAGGUCGAGGACUUGACC